RNA transcript from Hevea brasiliensis (rubber tree), 2496 nucleotides. It is a transcript of the gene named plant cysteine oxidase 1-like, with no coding region annotated. The record is from RefSeq and is a predicted model, not a curated record. The transcript is spliced from 4 exons. NCBI's taxonomy places the organism in Eukaryota, Viridiplantae, Streptophyta, Magnoliopsida, Malpighiales, Euphorbiaceae.
UACUGUAGUGUUGUGCUGCCUUGUGUGUGCCAUGUGCUCUCCCCUUUCCUAACUAGAGAAAAAAACCUCAAGAAUCAUAUGUUACUUUUUUUUUUUUUUUUCUGUUUUCUGGAGUACACCAUCCCUCGAAUCCCAUCCGGAUCAACCACAAAACCCGGGGGUCUACAAAAGCCAAGAACUCAGGGUUUUGAAUACAAAGCAAUGUUCACAAUCCCCUUUUCUAACAACUCCUGUACAAGUCUCUCCAUCACAGCCUUCCCUAAUCCAAUCCCCUGAUACGAAGGAUCCACCACCAUGUCCCAGAUGAUGGCAUUGAAAACAUUGUCCCCUGUGGCUCUAGCAAAUGCAACUGGCUUCUGGGUUUUCUUGUGCUCCACCCAGAGGAGCGAGUUCGUGUUCUCCAAUGCCAGUUUGAUCUUCUCCUAUUGCCAGUUUGAUACCCAUAUAGCAAUUUUUUGUUUUUGGUUGACGGGGGAAUUUUUUGAGGGUUCUCAUUUGAGGAAUUGUCAGGUUGAAUGGGGAUUGAGACAAGUAAGGCUAACAAGAAGGAAAAGAACUCUUAUGAAUUGGAGAAAGAAAAGAAUCCAAUUCUGGACCCGUAUCCAAAUCCAGAAACCAAUACGAAUACCAAAGGGAAGAAGAGCCAGCGACGGCACCACAAGAAGGCGGUGGUGGUAUCGCCGAUUGAAAAACUGUAUGACACCUGCGAGGAAGUAUUUUCCGUUGGUGGCCCUGGAAUUGUUCCCCCUCCUGAUAAAAUCGAAAAGCUGAGGGCGGUUUUCGAUGACAUCAAACCAGAGGAUUUUGGUCUGAGUCCGGAGAUGCCAUAUUUUCGUGCACUUGCUGCUGGGAGAACCCCUAAAAUAAAAUACCUUUGUAUCCAUAUAUCUGACAAUUUCUCGAUGGGUAUCUUCUGCUUCCCGCCAUCAGGUGUGAUACCCCUUCAUAAUCAUCCUGGAAUGACUGUUUUUUGCAAGCUGAUAUUUGGGAAGAUGCACAUUAAAUCGUAUGACUGGGUGGUUGAUGGCCCUUGCAAUGUGUCUGCUGUGGCGAAUCCUUCCGAUGGUGAAUGUCUCUCUCUCUCUCUUAAGUGUGAUUAUUCAUACCUUAUGUGUGAUAUUGGAACCUUAUAAAUAGAAGUUGCUAGAGCAGCUUUAAACCUUGGUGGAACGAUGCUAGGUUACUAUCCUGUUAGAGUGUUACCUUCAAAAACUGCCAUCCUUCUAGUGAAUCCUACAUUUCUGCCUAGGGCUUCUCAGGCUGAAGUAAAAAAUUUCUUUGAAUCAACCUGUGGUGAGGUGAGGACAGAAAUAAAAGAUAUCCCCUUCCCUCCCCAAAAAGAGUUGGCUGUAAGGAGCAUCCCAAUGUUUGACUGCCCUUUUUUUUCUUGUAUAUUUUUUCAUUCAUAGAAUCAUAGGUUAUCCGCUUGAGGCUUUUGGGGGAUCAUGUCCAUUCAAGUCGUAUAGCUUUUGUUGAAUUUGCCAUGGUGAGUUUGUGUUCACAGCACUUAAAUGAGUGUAAAUUCUGAGAGCUGCAUUGUUAUGGGAAUUUUGCUUGUGCUUAGUUUUCCUUGUGCUUAGUUUUCCUUGGAUUUUAAUAUGUCUUUCUUCAUUCAUCCAUUCUUGCGUCUGUUUAUCUGUUUGUUAUCAUAGCUACCUUAGCAAUAUCAUUACCAUAACUUUUUACUGCAUCUUUAAUAGAUUUUGAAGUGUAACAUGAGUUACUCCUCUCUCCAUGUGUGUGUGUAUGUGUGUGUGUGUGUGUGUGCGUGUGCGCGCACGCGAGCGCGCGUGUAUUGAAUAAUAGCUGCCUUGAUGUAACAGUAUUGGGCAUUCAUUAGUGCUAAUUUGAAUGAGCUUCCCUUAACAAUAUAUUCUAGCAUAUUAUCUUCUUUGUGGAGGGGGUACAGAGGUUUGGAAGGUUGCUUGACUAUUUUGAAAUCUAUUUUUAAAGUUUCAAAUUUUACCUUGUUGGAGAUCUAAGUAAAAUUCAAGUUUCAACAUUCUAUGCCUAGUUAGAUUUUACUUGGUAUAGAAUGUUGAAAAUUGAAUUUUCAUAUUUAAGUCCUUCAUAUUGAACUAAUGGAAAGGGAAUUGUCCUGCUUUCUAUUUGCUUAAAGAGUAAUUUUGCAUUCACUUUUACUCAUUGAGGUGCUUUUCCUUGAUGCAAAUUAUGGCUUUAUCCUUGAUUUGACUAUGGGGCAUAAUUAAUGUUUGAAGAGAUAUUAUUAUGGGACCAGAAUAUUCAUGAAUAAAUAUGGAGUGGAAUGGUCCAGAUCUUCUUGCUAGCAUGGGUAUUUACCGAGAAAAUAUGGCCAGACAUGACUUGGUUCACUUUUGUGAUAUUGUAAUCUAUUUAUCGCCCAAUACUGAAGUUUGUAGGUUGGAGUCUAUAUUGGAUUUCUUAGGGUUUCAAUUGCAUUGCAAGUGUAUACUUUUCUUUGCAUAUAUUAAAUUUAUGAACUUCAUAAUUUAAUAAAGAUAUCCUUUUCUCCAA